RNAcentral lists this ribosomal RNA (253 nucleotides) under uncultured bacterium. RNAcentral's name for it is "partial 16S ribosomal RNA". It matches the Rfam family "Bacterial small subunit ribosomal RNA", at positions 524 to 776 of the family's 1533-position model. The record is from RNAcentral.
UACGUAGGGGGCAAGCGUUGUCCGGAUUUAUUGGGUUUAAAGGGUGCGUAGGUGGCCCUGUAAGUCAGUGGUGAAAUAUCUCAGCUUAACUGAGAGGGUGCCAUUGAUACUGCAGGGCUUGAGUAUAGAUGAGGUAGGCGGAAUUGACGGUGUAGCGGUGAAAUGCAUAGAUAUCGUCAAGAACACCGAUAGCGAAGGCAGCUUACCAAGCUGUAACUGACACUGAGGCACGAAAGUGUGGGGAUCAAACAGG